GAUAAACGCUGGCGGCGUGCUUUACCAAUGCGAGUCGAACGGGCGCUGCGUGCCAGCAAUGGGGCGUGGGCGUCAGUGGCGUCCGGGUGCGUAACACGUGGGUGACCUGCCUGUGCGUGGGGGAUACCCGCCCGAAAGGGUGGCUAAUACCGCGUGCGCUCUUGUCUGUUUGGGAGAAGAGGAAAGCUGCCGGUUGCAAGACCGGUGGCGCGCGCAGAGGGGCCUGCGGCCAUCAGCUUGCCGGUGGGGUAACGGCCUACCGGGGCGACGACGGGUAGCCGGUCUGAGGGGACGAACGGCCACAGUGGGACUGGGAGAUGGUCCACAGCUCUACGGGGUUUAGCAUGGAGGAAUCUUGCGCAACGGCCGGUGGGCCGGCGCAGCAACGCCGCGUGGGGGACGACGCCUUUCGGGUGUAACCCUAGUUGCUCGGGAAGAAGUACUCGUGGGGAGAGCCUGCGAGGAAGACGGUACCGGGCGAGGAAGCCCGGC
RNAcentral lists this ribosomal RNA (492 nucleotides) under uncultured bacterium. RNAcentral describes it as "bacterial SSU rRNA". It matches the Rfam family "Bacterial small subunit ribosomal RNA", at positions 28 to 496 of the family's 1533-position model. The record is from RNAcentral.